RNAcentral lists this transfer RNA (69 nucleotides) under Pleurobranchaea novaezealandiae. Its description in RNAcentral is "tRNA-Ala". Lineage: Eukaryota; Metazoa; Mollusca; Gastropoda; Pleurobranchida; Pleurobranchidae. The record is from RNAcentral.
GUUACUGUACUUUAAGCAAAGAAGAUUUGGUUUGCAACUAAACAGUGAAUUUUUAUGUUCCAGUACCAA